This 253-nucleotide ribosomal RNA is filed under the name uncultured bacterium. Its description in RNAcentral is "partial 16S ribosomal RNA". It matches the Rfam family "Bacterial small subunit ribosomal RNA", at positions 524 to 776 of the family's 1533-position model. The record is from RNAcentral.
UACGUAGGGUGCGAGCGUUAAUCGGAAUUACUGGGCGUAAAGCGUGCGCAGGCGGCGCCGCAAGUCGAGUGUGAAAUCCCCGAGCUUAACUUGGGAAUUGCGCUCGAAACUACGGUGCUGGAGUGUGGCAGAGGGAGGUGGAAUUCCACGUGUAGCGGUGAAAUGCGUAGAGAUGUGGAGGAACACCGAUGGCGAAGGCGGCAUCCUGGACCAUUACUGACGCUGAGGCGCGAAAGCUAGGGGAGCAAACGGG